GACGAACGCUGGCGGCGUGCUUAACACAUGCAAGUCGAACGGAAAGGCCCUGCUUGCAGGGUGCUCGAGUGGCGAACGGGUGAGUAACACGUGGGUGAUCUGCCCCUUACUUUGGGAUAAGCCUGGGAAACUGGGUCUAAUACUGGAUAGGACCAUGCUGUAGGUGGUGUGGUGGAAAGAUUAGUUUCGGUAAGGGAUGAGCUCGCGGCCUAUCAGCUUGUUGGUGGGGUAAUGGCCUACCAAGGCGUCGACGGGUAGCCGGCCUGAGAGGGUGGACGGCCACAUUGGGACUGAGAUACGGCCCAGACUCCUACGGGAGGCAGCAGUGGGGAAUAUUGCACAAUGGGCGCAAGCCUGAUGCAGCGACGCCGCGUGGGGGAUGACGGCCUUCGGGUUGUAAACUCCUUUCAGCCAUGACGAAGCCUUCGGGUGACGGUAGUGGUAGAAGAAGCGCCGGCUAACUACGUGC
Molecule: ribosomal RNA, 469 nt
Filed under: uncultured bacterium
Lineage: Bacteria
Description: partial 16S ribosomal RNA
Rfam family: Bacterial small subunit ribosomal RNA
Source: RNAcentral